CGUGUGUAGGUGUGUGUGUGUGUGUACAGUACGUGUGUAGGUGUGUAUGUGUGUGUAGGUGUGUAUGUGUGUGUAGGUGUGUGUGUGUGUGUGUGUGUGUGUGUGUGUAGGUGUGUGUGUGUGUGUGUGUGUGUGUAGGUAUAUCACCGUUUCAUGUGUAUGGAUCAGAAAUAUGAUUAGGUGGAUUUUUAUUUGCCUUUGGAGUUUGGACUUUAUUUCUUUAAAUGCUAAAAAUCCAGAUUACAUUUUUUCUAUUGAUUUUGAAAAUGAGCUUUUAGGUGUUUUCUGUUCGACUAAAUUCAGUAAAGUUUUCUGAACACUCUAGUGCAGCUGUGUCAAACUCAUUCCACGGAAGGCCGAGUGUCUGCAGGUUGUUGUUUUUUCCUUUCAAUGAAGUCCUAGACAACCAGGUGAGGAG
Oncorhynchus tshawytscha (Chinook salmon) is the source of this 418-nucleotide long non-coding RNA. Lineage: Eukaryota; Metazoa; Chordata; Actinopteri; Salmoniformes; Salmonidae. The record is from Ensembl.